AAUCAACGCUGGCGGCGUGCCUCAGACAUGCAAGUCGAACGCGAAAGUUCCCUUCGGGGAGCAAGUAGAGUGGCGCACGGGUGAGUAACACGUAGGUAAUUUGCCUUCGGGUGGGGAAUAACAGUCGGAAACGACUGCUAAUACCGCAUAAUGCAGCGGCUCGACAUCGAGACAGUUGUUAAAGCGGGGGAUCCUUCGGGACCUCGCGCCUGAAGAGAAGCCUGCGGCAGAUUAGCUAGUUGGUGAGGUAAUGGCCCACCAAGGCUACGAUCUGUAACCGGCCUGAGAGGGCGGUCGGUCACACUGACACUGACAUACGGGUCAGACUCCUACGGGAGGCAGCAGUCGGGAAUUUUGGGCAAUGGGCGCAAGCCUGACCCAGCAACGCCGCGUGAAGGAUGAAAUUUUUCGGAAUGUGAACUUCGCAAGAACGGGAAGAAAUAAGUUCAGGCAAACAGCCUGAAUGA
RNAcentral lists this ribosomal RNA (467 nucleotides) under uncultured bacterium. Its description in RNAcentral is "bacterial SSU rRNA". It matches the Rfam family "Bacterial small subunit ribosomal RNA", at positions 32 to 472 of the family's 1533-position model. The record is from RNAcentral.